GAGUUUGAUCAUGGCUCAGAUUGAACGCUGGCGGAAUGCUUUACACAUGCAAGUCGAACGGCAGCACGGGUGCUUGCACCUGGUGGCGAGUGGCGAACGGGUGAGUAAUACAUAGGAACAUACCCAGUAAUGGGGGAUAACGCCGAGAAAUCGGUGCUAAUACCGCAUACGCCCUACGGGGGAAAGCGGGGGAUCUUCGGACCUCGCGUUAUUGGAUUGGCCUAUGUCUGAUUAGCUAGUUGGUGAGGUAAAGGCUCACCAAGGCUUCGAUCAGUAGCUGGUCUGAGAGGAUGAUCAGCCACACUGGAACUGAGACACGGUCCAGACUCCUACGGGAGGCAGCAGUGGGGAAUUUUGGACAAUGGGCGAAAGCCUGAGCCAGCCAUUCCGCGUGAGUGAAGAAGGCCUUCGGGUUGUAAAGCUCUUUCGGCAGGAACGAAAUGGUUACGGUUAAUAACUGUGACUUCUGACGGUACCUGAAGAAGAAGCACCGGCUAACUACGUGCCAGCAGCCGCGGUAAUACGUAGGGUGCGAGCGUUAAUCGGAAUUACUGGGCGUAAAGCGUGCGCAGGCGGUUUUGUAAGUCAGAUGUGAAAGCCCCGGGCUUAACCUGGGAAUGGCGUUUGAAACUACAAGGCUAGAGUGUGU
This 649-nucleotide ribosomal RNA is filed under the name uncultured beta proteobacterium. RNAcentral describes it as "bacterial SSU rRNA". It matches the Rfam family "Bacterial small subunit ribosomal RNA", at positions 9 to 651 of the family's 1533-position model. Lineage: Bacteria; Pseudomonadati; Pseudomonadota; Betaproteobacteria. The record is from RNAcentral.